UCCCAGGUGGUCCAGUGGGUAGGAAUCCUCCUUGUAGUGCAGGGGACUUGGGUUCGAUCCCUGGUCUGGGAA
Transfer RNA from Ovis aries (sheep), 72 nucleotides. It matches the Rfam family "tRNA". From Rfam's summary of the family: Transfer RNA (tRNA) molecules are approximately 80 nucleotides in length. The record is from Rfam. Lineage: Eukaryota; Metazoa; Chordata; Mammalia; Artiodactyla; Bovidae.